CAGUCGCCGCGGGAAUACAGAGGGUGCAAGCGUUAAUCGGAUUUACUGGGCGUAAAGGGCGCGUAGGUGGUUAUUUAAGUGAGAUGUGGAAGCCCUGGGCUUAACCUGGGAACUGCAUCUUAUACUGGGUAACUGGAGUGCAGUAGAGGGUAGUGGAAUUUCCGGUGUAGCGGUGAAGUGCGUAGAUAUCGGAAGGAACACCGAUGGCGAAGGCAAUCCCCUGGACCUGUACUGACGCUCAUGCACGAAAGCGUGGGGAGCGAACAGGAUUAGAUACCCGCGUAGUCCCUGUCUCUUAUAA
RNAcentral lists this ribosomal RNA (301 nucleotides) under uncultured bacterium. RNAcentral describes it as "partial 16S ribosomal RNA". It matches the Rfam family "Bacterial small subunit ribosomal RNA", at positions 509 to 809 of the family's 1533-position model. The record is from RNAcentral.